CUUGAGGUUGACAAAUGAACGGUUUCGAAUCGAUGUAUACGAACAAUAUUUCACGCGCUGUGUGUCGAUUCAAAGCCGUACAUUUGUCAACUUUCAC
Molecule: microRNA precursor, 97 nt
Filed under: Petromyzon marinus (sea lamprey)
Lineage: Eukaryota; Metazoa; Chordata; Hyperoartia; Petromyzontiformes; Petromyzontidae
Description: microRNA pma-mir-4598 precursor
Source: miRBase by way of RNAcentral